This 253-nucleotide ribosomal RNA is filed under the name uncultured bacterium. RNAcentral's name for it is "partial 16S ribosomal RNA". It matches the Rfam family "Bacterial small subunit ribosomal RNA", at positions 524 to 776 of the family's 1533-position model. The record is from RNAcentral.
UACGUAGGGUGCAAGCGUUGUCCGGAAUUAUUGGGCGUAAAGAGCUCGUAGGCGGUUUGUCGCGUCGGCUGUGAAAGCCCGGAGCUCAACUCCGGGUCUGCAGUCGAUACGGGCAGACUUGAGUGUUGCAGGGGAGACUGGAAUUCCUGGUGUAGCGGUGAAAUGCGCAGAUAUCAGGAGGAACACCGAUGGCGAAGGCAGGUCUCUGGGCCAUUACUGACACUGAGAAGCGAAAGCAUGGGGAGCGAACAGG